GACGAACGCUGGCGGCGUGCUUAACACAUGCAAGUCGAACGGAAAGGCCCUGCUUUUGUGGGGUGCUCGAGUGGCGAACGGGUGAGUAACACGUUAGUAUCCUCCCCUUUACUUUGGGAUAACUUCAGGAAACUGGGGAUAAUACCGGAUAGGAGCUCCUGCUGCAUGGUGGGGGGUGGAAAGUUUCGGCGGUUGGGGAUGGACUCGCGGCUUAUCAGCUUGUUGGUGGGGUAGUGGCUCACCAAGGCUUUGACGGGUAGCCGGCCUGAGAGGGUGACCGGCCACAUUGGGACUGAGAUACGGCCCAGACUCCUACGGGAGGCAGCAGUGGGGAAUAUUGCACAAUGGGCGGAAGCCUGAUGCAGCAACGCCGCGUGCGGGAUGACGGCCUUCGGGUUGUAAACCGCUUUCGCCUGUGACGAAGCGUGAGUGACGGUAAUGGGUAAAGAAGCACCGGCUAACUACGUG
RNAcentral lists this ribosomal RNA (468 nucleotides) under uncultured bacterium. Its description in RNAcentral is "partial 16S ribosomal RNA". It matches the Rfam family "Bacterial small subunit ribosomal RNA", at positions 28 to 507 of the family's 1533-position model. The record is from RNAcentral.